AACACUGUUAACCUGCGGUACCUGCGGAAGGAUCAUUACAGAGUUGCAGAACUCCCUAAACCAUUGUGAACGUUACCUAAACCGUUGCUUCGGCGGGCGGCCCGGGUCCUUCCCGGCGCCCCUCGGCCCUCGCGGGCGCCCGCCGGAGGUAAACCAAACUAUUGCAUUGUAUGGCCUCUCUGAGUCUUCUGUACUGAAUAAGUCAAAACUUUCAACAACGGAUCUCAGAUCGGAAGAGCA
Molecule: unclassified non-coding RNA, 240 nt
Filed under: soil metagenome
Description: partial contains 5.8S ribosomal RNA, internal transcribed spacer 2, and large subunit ribosomal RNA
Source: RNAcentral